CGGCCGCGUCGACCGAGCGCAACCCUCAUGUUCUGUUGCCAGCGGGUAAUGCCGGGAACUCGGAACAAACUGCCUCUGUAAAGAGGAGGAAGGUGGGGAUGACGUCAAGUCAUCAUGCCCCUUACAUCUUGGGCUGCACAUAUGCUACAAUGGCCGGUACAAAGAGUUGCUAACCCGCGAGGGCAUGCUAAUCUCAAAAAGCCGGUCUCAGUUCGGAUUGGAGUCUGCAACUCGACUCCAUGAAGUUGGAAUCGCUAGUAACCGCAGGUCAGCAAUACUGCGGUGAAUACGUUCCCGGGCCUUGCACAC
This 309-nucleotide ribosomal RNA is filed under the name uncultured bacterium. Its description in RNAcentral is "bacterial SSU rRNA". It matches the Rfam family "Bacterial small subunit ribosomal RNA", at positions 1074 to 1388 of the family's 1533-position model. The record is from RNAcentral.